This 3368-nucleotide long non-coding RNA is filed under the name Homo sapiens (human). RNAcentral's name for it is "HSALNT0151033". Lineage: Eukaryota; Metazoa; Chordata; Mammalia; Primates; Hominidae. The record is from RNAcentral.
CUGGUGACAGCUCCAUGCCAGCACAUGGAUUCCUGCAUUGGUAAUCUGUCAGCAACCACUCACAUUGAGAUACCUGUGUGUCCUCACUCCUCACAGGAGGACCGUGCAAAGGCAAAUUGCUAGGCAGGUAGACCUCACAGAUUCUCUCAGCCGGGCAGUCGGUGAGUCUGUCCAAAGCAUUUGAAUCUGAAGAUAAAAUGUUAAGAAGAAAAUCCUAGAAAAACAUGUCACAUAUAUUCUACCCACCGAACCAAACAAAAACAAAAAAGAAACACUUAAUUUUUAAUAAUGGGCGCAAGAAGUACUCAAAGUAAUAAAUAAUAAUAAUAAUAAAAGUUACUUCUUAGCCUGACUGUCCUGGACGAGAAUUCCGUCCCCACUUGCAGGUCGGGCACUGAGUGCCUGGACAGAGAGUUAGGUCCCCCGCUUACCCCGCCCUAAGGCUGCGGAAGGCGGCGCCAUCGGUCGCCAUGGAAAUCGCGGCGGAUGGGCGGAUCCUGGGCAGGUUGGCUGGGUCGGGCUGCCCGGGCGACGCCGGAGUUGCAGUUGGAGGCUGCGGGAAUACAAAGUGACACUGACUGCCGGGUAACUGUCUCUCAGGACAUUUGUGCUUUGAGUCUCUGCAACUCUGGACCAUCUCUGCAGGCUAAAAGAUGUGCCUGUUGCUAAGAGGAGGAGCCCUGCAGCAGGAAUCCGGUGCCAGCUGACCUGGAACAACCUGAUCUCCAGAAAGCAUCCCUGUUAUACUCAAAUGGGCCUUCCAGAUGAGCCCUGGGUGUCUACCUUUCAAGAGGAACAAGAAAAGAGAGGUGGGAAUAUGGAACCAAGCCAAAGAUUCUGCAGGAUCCUGCACAGUGAGCAUUGUUCUGGUUCAGGCCACUGUGCUCAACUGAACAGUAUCAGUAGCACAACAUUUGGAUGCCCUUGAAUACUGUUCCUGUUUCAAUUCAUUUGUUUGUCUGAGAAUUGGGAAUGCAUGUCUGGGCAGUGACAAGAGGCCAAAGAAAGCAGAAGAUGUGUGAAGAGGAGAAUCGAUUUUCCAUAAUGAGAUGUCAGAAACACUGCUUGCUAAGUCAGCCUGAAACCAAAGAAGAAGAAUGGCAUUCAGUGAUAAGAACUGUUCAUGAGCCUGAAUUCCAUGGCUGCUCCUGCACAAACCACCGGACACAGAUCCGGGGAAAGGCAACAAAGUUGCCUCUACUUUGUGAGUGGCUAGAAGUUACUGGACAUCUGGGAGCCCUGGUGCCUUGACUGUAAAAUGGAGACAACAACUCCUCUCAUGGUUGUUAUGACAAGGAAAUGAGAGAUACAUAUCAAGUGCCUAACAUAGAGCUGGCUCCUAUGAACCAGAACUUAUUAAGCAAUUGUAGAAGGCAAGAUUUAAAGCACAGACUUUGGAGCAGUCCUUGGGUUCCAAUCCUGGCUGCAUCGUUUAUCAUCUCUGAGCCUCAGUUUCCACAUCUGUAACAAAAGCUUUCAUUUUACAGAUGUAAAAGCAGUGUGUACCUCCAAGGGGUGGUUGUGAGGAUUAAUCAAGUUAAUACACAUGGCAUUCUCAGAUCAGUGCCUUGCACGGCAAUUUACUCAAUAAAUGUUAGCGAUUUUUUUUCAAUACAUGGUCAUUUUUUUUUUUUUUGGUCUCUUUUUAACUGCUCAAGAGGAAGACUGUGAGGAUUUUAAAUAGCCUGGAUUCUCUUCCUUCUGUCAACCAUAUGUCUUAACAUACUAUUACGAGUUACUCCUCCCCAAUAGUAGCAGUAUUGCUGGUUGUGAGGAGUUAACCCGGCCAUGCCUAUUACCUUGGGAAACCUACAGAAGCCUGCUGAAUGCAAUUUUCUAUCUGCAAAAUGGUGAGGAUACUGGGUGUUUACAUGACUGGGUUCCUGACAUGGAAUAGGCAUUUAAUAAAUACUAACUAUAAUUAUAUCAUCAUCAAUAUCAUGCAAUUUAUCUACAUUAGAAACCAACAGACUUGACAAGUAUAGUGGAGUCAGCCAUUAGUUAAAAUAGUUUGAGAGAUUCACUGAAAUUUUAGCUAACUGCUAGCUCCAAGUGGAAAGAUAAUAAAUUAUUAUUACAUUCAUUAAAUGUUCUUUGUAAUCAGGUUAGACAUUAAGUAUCCAUUAAAAAGAGUCCUUGGGACUAACAUAUACUUCAGAGGACUUUUUAAAGAUUGUAUUAAUAAAACAUAUAAACAAUAAUUUUAAUAAUAUAUUUAUGAUAGGAGGGGUAUAUUCUUGGGUAUACAGUAAAAAGAAAGGGAAGCUGUUCCCAACAUCACUGAGAGACUGAGAGAAAGGACCAUAUGGCCAGGUAAUCAACCAUUUGUAUAACUUAAUUUCCUUGUUUGGAAAGUGAGACAACAGUAUCUGUUCUAUCCAAUUCAAAGAAAUGGUCAUGAGUGUCAAAUUAUGAUAACUUACAUGAACAAAACCCUGGAAAUGCAUAAGAUGCUUUGGCAUAUUAGACACUGUUCCUCUUAUGAUUUCCCAUAUCAGACUGAAUGUUUCCUGCCUGUAAGCUGAGAUAACUGCUCUCUGGGGCCCAGCAUCACCUUGUAGAGUCUGGGGAAAGGUCAAUAAAAAUCCUCUGGAGAAUACAGUUGCAGACAAAGUAUAGUUCAAGCAGCACAGCUGGGCAUUCUUCAACACCACUGUUCUCAGUAGCUCUAAGACCUCCUUAUCAUGACUUACUUCCUUGUAUUUUCCUGACUCUCCAACUUAUUUAUAAACGGAAAAGAGCACAUCAUUCAAAGCAGUCGGUUAACUUAGGUAAGGAAAGCCAACAAGCAUGAUUGUGACUCAAGAUAGUUGCUCUUGUUAAGUCACUGCUCCUGCUCUCCCUCUCCCUCCCCCUCCCCCUCUCCCUCCAUCUCUGUCUCCCUCUCUCUCCUCUGUCUCCCUCUCUCUCCACGGUCUCCCUCUGAUGCCUAGCUGAAGCUGGACUGUACUGCCGCCAUCUUGGCUCACUGCAACCUCCCUGCCUGAUUCUCCUGCCUCAGCCUGCCCAGUGCCUGGGAUUGCAGGCGGGCGCCGCCACGCCUGACUGGUUUUCGUUUUUUUUUUUGGUGGAGACGGGGUUUCGCUGUGUUGGCCGGGCUGGUCUCCAGCUCCUAACCCCAAGUGAUCUGCCAGCCUUGGCCUCCCGAGGUGCCGGGAUUGCAGACGGAGUCUCGUUCACUCAGUGCUCAAUGUUGCCCAGGCUGGAGUGCAGUGGCGUGAUCCCCGCUCGCUACAACCUCCACCUCCCAGCCGCCUGCCUUGGCCUCCCAAAGUGCCGAGAUUGCAGCUUCUGCCCGGCCGCCACCCCCUCUGGGAAGUGAGGAGCAUCUCUGCCUGGCCGCCCAUCGUCUGGGAUGUCAGGAGCCC